RNAcentral lists this unclassified non-coding RNA (267 nucleotides) under uncultured fungus. Its description in RNAcentral is "partial contains 5.8S ribosomal RNA, internal transcribed spacer 2, and large subunit ribosomal RNA". The stretch from base 1 to 52 matches the Rfam family "5.8S ribosomal RNA", at positions 103 to 154 of the family's 154-position model. Lineage: Eukaryota; Fungi. The record is from RNAcentral.
AACGCACCUUGCACCCUCUGGUAUUCCGGAGGGUAUGCCUGUCUGAGUGUCACGUCAAUCAUCGUCCCCUCGGGUUCUGCCCGGGGGGUCGGAUAUGGGUGUUGCCCUUCAUCGGGCUCGCCUCAAAAGCUUUGGUGGCUCAGCGUGGCCCGUGGUCCUGCGUGAUAUGUAUCGCCUGACCUCGGGACGCCUGGCUUCCUGGAAACCGUGCCCCGGCACAUCUGUGUGAUAGACCUCAGAUCAGGUAGGACUACCCGCUGAACUUAA